GUGAGUCAUCGAGUCUUUUGAACGCACAUUGCGCUUCGUGGUAUUCCGCGGAGCAUGCUCGUUUCAGAAUCAUUAAAAAACUCACAGACCGAUGGGGUUGUUUGUUGGUUCGCCAGCACCUCUGCGCAAUGUGGAUGUGGGCAAUUUGUCUUUGUCAAUUGCCUUAAAGUUAGAGUGCGUGACUGAAUGCGGUGAUGCCCGGACAAGUGCAACAGCUUAUGAUACACUUCGUAAGCCACCGAGAGAACACGCAUCCGUAAACAACACAGGGCCAACAAGCAGUUAUGCUUAACCGGCUCUGACAACUUGGUCUGAAAUCGAGCAAGAAAACCCGCUGAACUUAAGCAUAUCAAUAAGGCGAGG
Molecule: ribosomal RNA, 363 nt
Filed under: uncultured fungus
Lineage: Eukaryota; Fungi
Description: eukaryotic LSU rRNA
Rfam family: 5.8S ribosomal RNA (bases 1-72)
Source: RNAcentral